ACAGGAACACUCUGAAGAUAGGCAGAACCUCACAUCAUUACUGAAAAUGUUGAAAGCAGAGGUCCCAUAGCACUCCCCUGAGGGAGGCCAGAGGUUGCCAAAUAGGAAUCCGAGAAUGUUCCAUUAAUAUUAACUCUAUAAAGUCGAUGGAUAUGAUUUUAUCCAAUUUAGUAGUGCCGAAUGUAUACCCAAGCGGGCCAGUUUUGCCAGUAGGGCACUGUGGCUAACUUUGUCAAAGGCUUUCGCAAAAUCGGUGUAAAUAGCAUCAACCUGAUAUCGCAUAUUAAAGGCAUGAAUGCAAUAGUUGCUGAAAACGGCAAGAUUAGUCGUAGUUGACCGACCUGCAACAAAAUCAUGCUGAGAAGUGCUUAUAUAUGUUUUUACAAGAAAUUAUCAUUUUUGGGCAACAUGCGUUCGAAGAGUUUAGCGACAUUACAGAUCUUUGCUAUAGGCCUGUAAUUGGCAAUGUUAUUCUUCGGCCCUGAUUUUAAAAUUGGAGUCACGGAUGCGACCUUCCAUCUAUCCGCAAAGUGUCCACUAGAUGGUGAUUUAUCAAACAGAAUUUUAAGUGGAACGCAUAGAACCUCUAUACAAUGUUUCAAAAAGUAGGCCGGAGUCCCAUCACAGUCCGGAAUGUACGAUUCAUCCACGUCUUCCACAGCUCUAUGAAUAUUCUCUUCUAGCACGGUUAAACUACCUAAAUUCAAUAGAGGAGUGAUUGCAUUUAAGGUUUGAGAAUCAUUCCAGGCUGCUGUUGGCUCAAAAUUAGCUUUAAAAUAAGAGGCAAAGAGAGUUUCUGUAUUUGAAUUGAAAGAUAAAUUCCCUAUGAACAUAGCAGAUGGAACUGAAGAAGCACUUUUCUUUGAAUUGAUGAAUCGCCAAAAAGAGUUGGGAUUACUUUUUAGGCCGUUCUCAACACUCGCUAUAUACUGAUUGUAAAGAAAUUUAUUUAGAAAUUCAAAUUCUCGUUUGUGCUGCAAGUGUCUAUUCCAAUCACCAGGAUCCUGUGUAACUAAAAACCUUUUAUAGAAUUUAUUUCGAAGAUUUUUAAGCUUUUUCAAACCUUUCGUAUACCAUGGCAACUUAAACAAAUUGUGGCCUCUUUCUCUAGCAUCGUUCUUAAUGAUGUUUAAAAUAACAACUAAAAAUGUCUCCAAACUGACAUGUGAUAAAACUGACUCCCAGUUAAUGAGAUCUCAUUUCUGAUAGCACAAAGGCUGGUUUCAUUGAAAAUAAAUCUAGGUGAAUAUUCAGCUGAAGGCGCAAAACUGUAAAAGUUUAUACCUAGUAGCAAUGGUCUAUUAUGGAUAUCACAAUUGCUUAUGGGUGAACUAUAUUGGACUAAAGAAAAGUUAAUAUCAGCGCUAAGGAAUACUAAGUUUAAAAUUUAAUGUAAGUUAUUGAAUAUAUUAUUGACUUGUAUUAAGCCCAUACUGAAAAUAUCAUCGAUUCUCCAAUUAUCGACACCGCAACUUGAUCAAGAAGGGUAUCUUCAAUGAGAAGUCCAAUUGACAAGCAGCGCAAAUUGCAUCGAACAUCAACAAUUAGACCACCUCCUCUAGCACAGUGGGUUUUCGUGCUAUCUCUGUCUUUGCGGAACACAUGGUACAAAUUGGAGUCGAAGAAUUCAUUUGAGUAAAAGUUUAUGUUGAGCCAAGUUUCAACUAAAACUAUAACAUCGAACUCGCAUUGGGAUGUCGCAAGGUAUACUUGCUCCGCCUUUGUCCGCAUUCCGGAGAUGUUUUGAAAAUAAAUUUUUAGUGGGGCCGUACUCACAAUAGCACGAUCAACAAUUUCCGGAUUCGCAUUUAAGGCAUCAUAGUCCAAUGCCCAAGGAAGUAUUUGUUCAUGCGUUCCCAAUGUUGUAGGCCCGCAGAUCGCCUUCAGAAAUGUAGUGUUUUUAAUACGAAUUUUAAUUAAUACGAAUUUAUUAUACGAACUAAUUAUUAAUAAAUUAAAUUAUUAAUUAAAUUAUUAUUGUUUCCUUACUUAGCUGAUUAAAUGGAACGUGUAUCAUUUCCUAGCCAUUAUACGGAUAUAUUUAUUAUAUCUUAUGGUAUUGGGUUUUGAUGCAAGCUUCUUGAUCAAAGUAUCACGAGUUUGUUAUAUACUCGCAAACAAAUUCUUUAAUAAAACGGUGCAUUUAUGUAUUUUUGAUUUGAAAAUUUGGUAUAACUCCAAUUACUCAGGUAUGAUCCAAUUCAAGGACAUUGCCAGGUAGAGAGUUUGACUGGGGCGGUACAUCUCUCAAAUAAUAACGGAGGUGUCCCAAGGCCAGCUCAGUGCGGACAGAAACCACACAUAGAGCAAAAGGGCAAAUGCUGACUUGAUCUCGGUGUUCAGUACACACAGGGACAGCAAAAGCUCGGCCUAUCGAUCCUUUUGGUUUAAAGAGUUUUUAACAAGAGGCGUCAGAAAAGUUACCAUAGGGAUAACUGGCUUGUGGCGGCCAAGCGUUCAUAGCGACGUCGCUUUUUGAUCCUUCGAUGUCGGCUCUUCCUAUCAUUGUGAAGCAAAAUUCACCAAGCGUUGGAUUGUUCACCCAUGCAAGGGAACGUGAGCUGGGCUUAGACCGUCGUGAGACAGGUUAGUUUUACCCUACUAAUGACAAAACGUUGUUGCGACCGGAUUCCUGCGUAGUACGAGAGGAACCGCAGGUACGGACCAAUGGCACAAUACUUGUUCGAGCGAACAGUGGUAUGACGCUACGUCCGUUGGAUUAUGCCUGAACGCCUCUAAGGUCGUAUCCGUGCUGGACUGCAAUGAUAAAUAAGGGGCAAUUUGCAUUGUAUGGCUUCUAAACCAUUUAAAGUUUAUAAUUUACUUUUUAAACGACAAUGGAUGUGAUGCCAAUGUAAUUUGUAACAUAGUAAAUUGGGAGGAUCUUUGAUCACCUGAUGCCGCGCUAGUUACAUAUAAAAGCAUUAUUU
This 2930-nucleotide ribosomal RNA is filed under the name Drosophila biarmipes. Its description in RNAcentral is "eukaryotic LSU rRNA". The stretch from base 1987 to 2930 matches the Rfam family "Eukaryotic large subunit ribosomal RNA", at positions 2391 to 3320 of the family's 3401-position model. Lineage: Eukaryota; Metazoa; Arthropoda; Insecta; Diptera; Drosophilidae. The record is from RNAcentral.